Long non-coding RNA from Mesocricetus auratus (golden hamster), 852 nucleotides. RefSeq lists it as uncharacterized. NCBI's taxonomy places the organism in Eukaryota, Metazoa, Chordata, Mammalia, Rodentia, Cricetidae. The transcript is spliced from 3 exons. The record is from RefSeq and is a predicted model, not a curated record.
CACCCCACUCUGUCCCUAUCCUCCAGGCCCCCGAAGCCUGCCUUCAGCAGCAGCCGCUUCCCGUUUCUUCUGGCUGCACUGACUGCCUGGUGGCCAGAGGUACAGGGUACCCCGAACAACUUGAGUUUUAUAAGAGCUUGUACUUUUAUGAUGGCUUUGGUUCAUGCUGGGCCAUUCUUGACACUCUUGCCUUGGAUCUACACAAAAGACAAAAGAGGAUCCUACUGUGCAAAAUGGCUUUUUCCCCCUUCAGUAAUGGGGAUUGAACCUAGAGCACUGAAUCUAACAGGUGCCCAAGCUGGAGUUACAGGUGGUUGUGAGACAUCUGAUGUGAGUGUUGGGAACCGAACUAGCUCUUCUGAAGGAACACUUGCUCUCUUAACUGCUGAGCUGUCUUGCUAGCCCUCUGGUAUAUCUCCAAGGGCAUUCCAAGAAGGUUUACCUGGACUUGGGCAGUCCCAUCCCAUGGACUAGGAGAAAAAAAUGAGCAGGAGAAAGUGAACUGAGCACUAGUAUUCACCUCUUUCUGCUUCCUGACUGUGGAUGUCAUGUGACCGCCUGCCUCAUGCUCUUGCUGCCAUGCAUUACCUACCAUGUUGUACUGUACCCUCAAACUGUGAGCCCAAACCCCUGAAACUUCUUUUGUUGGGUAAUUUGUCAUAGCAACGAUAAAGGAAACUGAUACACAGGACAUGAAGUCUCAUCUUUUUAUCACCCAGGGUGGCUCUUGCCCUUUCAUUGGCCAUUCCAAACCUUCCCAGACUUUCCCAAUCUGCUGUUUUACCCCUCUUACUCCUGGAGGGUGACCUUAUGUUCUGAGGAAAAAAUCACCUGUGGAAGAUAAAGUCUCCC